This 582-nucleotide ribosomal RNA is filed under the name Staphylococcus aureus. Its description in RNAcentral is "partial 23S ribosomal RNA". It matches the Rfam family "Bacterial large subunit ribosomal RNA", at positions 2341 to 2925 of the family's 2925-position model. The record is from RNAcentral. Lineage: Bacteria; Bacillati; Bacillota; Bacilli; Caryophanales; Staphylococcaceae.
UUCAUAGAGUGUAAAGGCAUAAGGGAGCUUGACUGCGAGACCUACAAGUCGAGCAGGGUCGAAAGACGGACUUAGUGAUCCGGUGGUUCCGCAUGGAAGGGCCAUCGCUCAACGGAUAAAAGCUACCCCGGGGAUAACAGGCUUAUCUCCCCCAAGAGUUCACAUCGACGGGGAGGUUUGGCACCUCGAUGUCGGCUCAUCGCAUCCUGGGGCUGUAGUCGGUCCCAAGGGUUGGGCUGUUCGCCCAUUAAAGCGGUACGCGAGCUGGGUUCAGAACGUCGUGAGACAGUUCGGUCCCUAUCCGUCGUGGGCGUAGGAAAUUUGAGAGGAGCUGUCCUUAGUACGAGAGGACCGGGAUGGACAUACCUCUGGUGUACCAGUUGUCGUGCCAACGGCAUAGCUGGGUAGCUAUGUGUGGAAGGGAUAAGUGCUGAAAGCAUCUAAGCAUGAAGCCCCCCUCAAGAUGAGAUUUCCCAACUUCGGUUAUAAGAUCCCUCAAAGAUGAUGAGGUUAAUAGGUUCGAGGUGGAAGCAUGGUGACAUGUGGAGCUGACGAAUACUAAUCGAUCGAAGACUUAAUCAA